AGACGACGCUGGCGGCGUGCCUAACACAUGCAAGUCGAACGGAGUAAAGACUUCGGUUUUACUUAGUGGCGAACGGGUGAGUAACGCGUGAGAAACCUGCCUUUCAGUGGGGGACAACAGUUGGAAACGACUGCUAAUACCGCAUAAUGUUAUUUGGGGGCAUCCCCGAAUAACCAAAGAUUUAUUGCUGAAAGAUGGUCUCGCGUCUGAUUAGCUAGUUGGUGAGGUAACGGCUCACCAAGGCGACGAUCGGUAGCCGGACUGAGAGGUUGAACGGCCACAUUGGGACUGAGACACGGCCCAGACUCCUACGGGAGGCAGCAGUGGGGAAUAUUGCACAAUGGGGGAAACCCUGAUGCAGCAACGCCGCGUGAAGGAAGACGGUCUUCGGAUUGUAAACUUUUGUUCUUAGUGAAGAAACAUGACGGUAGCUAAGGAGAAAGCCACGGCUAACUACGUG
This 460-nucleotide ribosomal RNA is filed under the name uncultured bacterium. RNAcentral's name for it is "bacterial SSU rRNA". It matches the Rfam family "Bacterial small subunit ribosomal RNA", at positions 32 to 507 of the family's 1533-position model. The record is from RNAcentral.